UUUUUUUUUACGUUCUCAUUUUUUGCCGUUUUUUAAUCUAUCUCUUUCAUUCCUUAACAGCCGACAUUUUUUCCCCCUUCAUUUUUCCGUCGUUCUUUAAGUUUCUCAUUUGAUUUGUGUUUAUUUUCUUACCUCUGGAACGUGCCUUCAAAACAUUCCCUCCCAUAUCUGUCUGUCUGUCUAAUGUCUUUUAAAACUACAAUUGCCUUCCAUCCUGUCUGUCAAUGUCUUUUAAAACUGCAAUUGAUUCCAUCCUGUCUGUCAAUGUCUUAAAACUUCAAUCAUCUUCCAUCCUGUCUGUCAAUGUCUUUUAAAACUGCAAUCGCCUUCCAUCCUGUCUGUCAAUGUCUUAAAACUGCAAUCAUCUUCCAUCUCUCAAAUUAACCUUAUAGUAAGUAUCAUGUAUAAUUUCAUUGAACAUAAAUAAAACAAAGAAUUGAAUAGAGUUGAGUGUUUCCCAUGUGGUAUUGGUGUGCUGGAUUUGACCUUCACUGGUAGCCUGGUAACAUACACUCCCAGGUCUUUCUCUGCCUCUGUGGUGGAUGGUGGAGUGUUUCCCAUGUGGUAUUGGUGUGCUGGAUUUGGCCUUCACUGGUAGCCUGGUAACACACACUCCCAGGUCUUUCUCUGCCUCUGUGGUGGAUAGUGGAGUGUUUCCCAUGUGGUAUUGGUGUGCUGGAUUUGGCCUUCCCUGGUAGCCUGGUAACAUACACUCCCAGGUCUUUCUCUGCCUCUGUGGUGGAUAGUGGAGUGUUUCCCAUGUGGUAUUGGUGUGCUGGAUUUGGCCUUCACUGGUAGCCUGGUAACACACACUCCCAGGUCUUUCUCUGCCUCUGUGGUGGAUAGUGGAGUGUUUCCCAUGUGGUAUUGGUGUGCUGGAUUUGACCUUCACUGGUAGCCUGGUAACACACACUCCCAGGUCUUUCUCUGCCUCUGUGGUGGAUAGUGGAGUGUUUCCCAUGUGGUAUUGGUGUGCUGGAUUUGACCUUCACUGGUAGCCUGGUAACACACACUCCCAGGUCUUUCUCUGCCUCUGUGGUGGAUAGUGGAGUGUUUCCCAUGUGGUAUUGGUGUGCUGGAUAUCCCCUCCCAAGGUGCAGGACUUUACAUUUUUCUUCAUUGAAUUGUAGCAGCCACUUUUUGCUCCACUCCUGUACCCUGGUGAGGUCUUCUGGUAGGAAAUCCAGUCAGUCGAGGGUUUAACAUCAGGUCACAUAUAAACACACGCACUACAAACUAAUAAUUUAUUCGCAUGUUAUUGGUCUAAAAAUCUUCAUCUUCUUAUAGUACAUAUGUGUAGAUAUAUUGACGGACAAGGGUGGCGGUGGAGCGAGGCAAGGAGGUCCAGCUACCACCUACAUACAACCCCUUCGCGGCGCUUAUACUAAUCCUACAUAGACUCCUGGAUAAAGAUAAUAUAUAAACGAUGGUAGUGAGAGUAAUAAACGCUGGAAGUCUGUGAGAAUAUAGAGCUUUUUGUCUCCCUCCCUCUCUCUCUUAGACAUGAACAUAUACUCUCUCUCUCUCGCCCUCUCCCCAACACAUAACCACGCACUCUCUCGCUCUCUUAAACAAGCACACACACUCUCGCUCUCUCUCCCUUAAACACACAUACACACAGCAACAUCAACCAUUGCCACACUUAACACCAAAACAUCAACAGUGCUAACCUUGCCCCCAGACCCAGACUCAGACCUCUCCAGCAGGCACCCCAAGCAGCUACUUAUGCCCAGUGGUCGGCAUGAUUCCGCUAACCAAUAAUUAGUGACAUAACUUUUCCUUAACUGAGCUAGUUUUCGCUAACUUAAGAAACUGUUAGAGGACCAAUUAGCUUCCGAUAAAUGUAGUUCCUCCUCCACUAACUUAAAGUCCACUAAAAGUUCAUACAGGUGUGGGCGGACACAGCACCAAGCCCCCAAGCUGCUGGCAAGGCCCUCGGUGCUAGGCUCAGAUAACGCAGUGCUAGCUAACAUUCUCUCUCUCUCUCUCUCUCUCUCUCUCUCUCUCUCUCUCUCUCUCUCUCUCUCUCUC
Long non-coding RNA from Eriocheir sinensis (Chinese mitten crab), 2031 nucleotides. RefSeq lists it as uncharacterized. The transcript has 3 exons. NCBI's taxonomy places the organism in Eukaryota, Metazoa, Arthropoda, Malacostraca, Decapoda, Varunidae. The record is from RefSeq and is a predicted model, not a curated record.